AAAGUCGUAACAAGGUCUCCGUUGGUGAACCAGCGGAGGGAUCAUUAUAGAGUUAUCUAACUCACCAAAACCCCUGUGAACUUACCUAUGUUGCCUCGGCGGGGAACCUACUACCUACGCUGUAGUUGUAGGCUUACCCGCCGAUGGACCACACAAACUCUUGAUUUUAUUUUGGCACUUCUGAAUUAUCAUAAAUAAGUUAAAACUUUCAACAACGGAUCUCUUGGUUCUG
RNAcentral lists this unclassified non-coding RNA (232 nucleotides) under Ascomycota sp. Its description in RNAcentral is "partial contains small subunit ribosomal RNA, internal transcribed spacer 1, and 5.8S ribosomal RNA". The stretch from base 1 to 47 matches the Rfam family "Eukaryotic small subunit ribosomal RNA", at positions 1785 to 1831 of the family's 1831-position model. The record is from RNAcentral. Lineage: Eukaryota; Fungi; Ascomycota.